CAUAUGUCUUACCAAAGCGGUAACGAGCAGCUAACAAAGAAAAACAAAUCAACGAAAAUUUAUACUUGAGAAUUGUGUUAGCUCUUACAGCGUUCCUACUUAUAUUGUUGACAUAGAUACUGAUGGUAAGAAAUGGAUGAAAUUGUGCUGCCAUCAUAAUUCGUAAGCCAUGUCUUACUUGAUUUGGAUUGUUGACGAUAGUGCGAUCCUAAGAAGGACUGUUGCUGUUAGUGUUGAUCUAUCACAUCUACAAACAUGUUACGUUCUCCAAAGUUCAAUCCACUAACUUUAGUAAUUAUAACGUUGUGGCUCUCUGUAUUAGCAUAAUAUUUUCUACUCACCCUGGCAAGUUGCUUGAUUUAUUUGGCCUUAACGUCUCCUCGAAUCCCAUGGCUAUUUAUACACACAAAGAAAGAGAUGUUGAGAAAAGAACAUACUACCCACUUUCUGUUACCACAACAACAGACGCCUCCUCACUAAAAAAUUGCAUACAUCGCUGGAGUCUUAUUGUACUGUAUUGUAAGAACGGAUGAUUUAAGUCUUUCGUAUCCACGAUAAACCAAAUGUAAACACAUCUAACAUCGUUGUGCGUUUUUCGAUUAACGAUAAAUGAAAAGCAAUUGUUAUUGCUUGUUUUUGUCUUUGCAUGCAGUGAAACUUUAAUACGGAAAAAAAUAUUUGUACGAUUGAUAUCUUUUAGUUUGGUGAAGGAUUUCACUGACUUUUUUCCAUAAGUAUCUAUCAUAUUCUCAUCAAGUCCGGUAGUUAGUGGGUCUUAAUGACGUGUAAUUUGAAAAUUAUUAUAUUAAUUACUUGACAGGUAUGACAAAGGAAUUCAACAAAUUAAAGUAUUUUACAUCCUUUCA
Xenia sp. Carnegie-2017 is the source of this 866-nucleotide long non-coding RNA. RefSeq lists it as uncharacterized. The record is from RefSeq and is a predicted model, not a curated record. Lineage: Eukaryota; Metazoa; Cnidaria; Anthozoa; Malacalcyonacea; Xeniidae. The transcript is spliced from 2 exons.